Non-coding RNA from Schistosoma mansoni, 46 nucleotides. The record is from Rfam. Lineage: Eukaryota; Metazoa; Platyhelminthes; Trematoda; Strigeidida; Schistosomatidae.
GCACUGCUGAAGAGCCCCAUACUAGGACGAAACGGCCGUCAAGUGC